Molecule: long non-coding RNA, 81 nt
Organism: Aricia agestis (brown argus)
Lineage: Eukaryota; Metazoa; Arthropoda; Insecta; Lepidoptera; Lycaenidae
Exons: 3
Source: RefSeq, a predicted model, not a curated record
UUGUUCCUUAUUAUUUCCAGGUAGCGUAGUAACUUGUUCCUAAUUUCCUUCAGGUAGCGUAGCAACUUAUUCCUAGUUUUC